This 163-nucleotide unclassified non-coding RNA is filed under the name uncultured Nectriaceae. RNAcentral's name for it is "sequence contains ITS1". Lineage: Eukaryota; Fungi; Ascomycota; Sordariomycetes; Hypocreales; Nectriaceae. The record is from RNAcentral.
CCGAGUUUCCAAAACUCCCAACCCAUGUGAACCUUACCUCUCGUUGCCUCGGCGGGACGCCCCGGGACCCCCCUUCGGGGCCCGGACCCAGGCGCCCGCCGCAGGACCCCUCAACUCUGUUUUCAGUGGAAGCAUCGUCUGAGUGAGAAGAUUUAAUAAAUCA